GGAUUGUGGCUUAGUGGUAGAGCACUCACCUAGCAUGGGUGAGACACUGGGUUCGAUCCUUAGCACCA
This 68-nucleotide transfer RNA is filed under the name Marmota monax (woodchuck). Its description in RNAcentral is "tRNA.Ala". The record is from RNAcentral. Lineage: Eukaryota; Metazoa; Chordata; Mammalia; Rodentia; Sciuridae.